Long non-coding RNA from Calidris pugnax (ruff), 1475 nucleotides. RefSeq lists it as uncharacterized. The transcript is spliced from 4 exons. NCBI's taxonomy places the organism in Eukaryota, Metazoa, Chordata, Aves, Charadriiformes, Scolopacidae. The record is from RefSeq and is a predicted model, not a curated record.
GCUCCGGCCCCUCCUCAGGGCCGCGGCUGAAGCCCCGGGCGCCGGCCCCGCCUGCGGGAGAGCUCCUCAGCGCCCGGCCCCCUCGCCGCUGCGAGAAACGGCGGCGGAGCGGACGGAGCCGCCUCCGGUCUCGGUGGCCCGCGGGAAGCUGAAACACCCGCUCGAGGUGCGCGAGGCGGGGGGAGCGGUGAGCGGGGCCCGGCCCUAACGGCCCCCGCCUCCCCCGUGGCGGAGCAGCUCCGCUUCACCCGGCCCGUCGCUCCUAACAACGUCAACCGGGUCUCGAACUGCUGCUCGAACACGGGCCCCAAGCAGGGCCGAGGCAGCCCUAAGGCCAAGGAAGGAGAGGCGGCCCCGGCCUCGAUGUCAGGCCCUGCAACCGGGACAAGGGCAAACGCUGACGGAAGGGAGCAGCCACUAUCCCUAACAAACCCCAAAGCCCCGGGGUUGUACAAACAGCAGCAGUGCAUGCCCGGUUAUGAAGAGGCCCUGGGAUAAGUCCAGGGUUCGCAGCUGUUCCCUCCCGUCAUUGCCAGAUGCCUUGCAGUCCAGUUUUGCAGGAGGAGAAAAGAAUGAAGCAAUUCAGCAUUACAGCGAGAGAUUACAAGGCCAGCAAAUUCUGCCAAGACAAAAGUAGCCGAGGAUGAUGGAGAACGCAGUGGUGUAAUCCAUUUGGCCUCCCCAGCAACUCCUGCAAGCAAAUUACAGAUGCUAUUUGAAAAGUGGAAGAUCUGUACAAUCCUGAAAUACCAAACACAUUGCCAGAUUAAGGAAAACUGCUCUGACAGACACCCUAUGAGGAAGCAAGGAAAGCAAGAAAUUCAAAAUUAAACAGAUUUGCAAUCAGUCUUCACCUCCCCACCCCUAAACAACCUCUAAACAAUCCUCAGUCAUCCUGGAGAGCAAAGUCAAGUUCCCACUGAACUGAUUAAAUAUUUUAAUAGAACAGCUGCACAUCAGAGUAUCGUAAAUCACUAUUUUACACUGCUAAGAGGACUGUAGCAUAUAACUGCUUCUUAAGUUUUUAUUACAGCAGGAAGGAUCACAGGGCUUCGCAUUUCCCAUUCUUCUGCCCUAAUUAUUAUCAGGUUUUUCAGUAUGCACAAACACCAGGAGUUUAAAGAAAAUGCAGACAAAACUCAAGGUAAUAGUAAUAAAAUUUUUUUUAAAAAAAAGCUUCUUCCUCAAGAAAUCCUCUGCCAUUCUUCACUUCAAACUGCUUUGUAAUCUUCAUGCAAUUCACAUGACAUCCGUCACCACCAAAAAAGCCUUACCAUGAAUUUGGUGUCACCUUUCGACAGCAUAUCUGUGACAAAGUGGACUUUUUCCAGUUGUUCUACAACUUGAUGCAGAAGUUUUGACUAGGAACAGUGACAACACAGAAGAAGAAAUGAUUUCACAAAUAACAAGAGUAUCUUGCCCAUUUACUAGACAAUGGCCCACAUAAGUACAGGACGUCACUAUAAUUGCAUGUA